GACGAACGCUGGCGGCGUGCUUAACACAUGCAAGUCGAGCGGUAAGGCCCUUUCGGGGGUACACGAGCGGCGAACGGGUGAGUAACACGUGGGUGACCUGCCCUCAGCUCUGGGAUAAGCCUGGGAAACCGGGUCUAAUACUGGAUAUGACUCCAUGACGCAUGUUGUGGGGUGGAAAGCCUUGUGCGGCUGAGGAUGGGCCCGCGGCCUAUCAGCUUGUUGGUGGGGUGAUGGCCUACCAAGGCGACGACGGUAGCCGGCCUGAGAGGGCGACCGGCCACACUGGGACUGAGACACGGCCCAGACUCCUACGGGAGGCAGCAGUGGGGAAUCUUGCGCAAUGGGCGAAAGCCUGACGCAGCGACGCCGCGUGA
Molecule: ribosomal RNA, 374 nt
Filed under: uncultured bacterium
Lineage: Bacteria
Description: bacterial SSU rRNA
Rfam family: Bacterial small subunit ribosomal RNA
Source: RNAcentral